GUUAAAGUAGUAUAGUAUGGUUAUUUGUUAGAUUUGCAAACUGCUUGCAUGUAGUUUAUCAAUCGAAUGCAUAGUUGAUUCUAUAGUCAAACUUGAGCUUGGAUUGUAAUUAAGAUGCUUUUGAAUAUGGUACCAACAAUGCAGCGAAGAGUUAGAGAUGAUGUACUUUUAUUCGUCAAUGACUCCACAUUCACUUUUCCCCUCGAUCAUUAUGUUUAACAUAGCUUAAAAGGUUUCCAUCGUCCGCAUGGUCGAAUGUAGAACAAUCUAACGCCAAUAGCACAUGCUCUUCCCAUUUUCGAAUUUCGACGUUCUGUAAGAUAGUGGAUGUGGUGAUUCAGAAAGUUGCAAAACGAUGUAGUAAAUGAAUUCACACAAACUUACCAGCAACGGUCACUUAUAGCAAGAUAGGGUAGAGUAGAGCUUUAUCAGCAGAAUUUAUGAGGAGAAUGGACUUGAAUCGGCUGAAGAUAAAACGAUAUCCACAAACAGUAUGUGGAGUAGACCCUAAUUAGUUGUCCCGCUUGAUGCAAGAGUUGGUUUGGUAGAAAAGCUGAUGCGUCUGUUCCUAUCGUUUUAAAACACAUAAACAGAUUAUUAAAUAAAUAACUAAACAAAACUUCGGGAAUUAUUCUUGUUUGAUUAUAAGGUAUGUAUUUCUUUAGUUUGGUUUGCACAUGCUUUGUGUAUUACAUUGCAGAGUUAAACAGAGUCGAGGCAUUUUGUAGUUGAUAUCUCUCUCGUCUCUCCUUCAACUGUGCUUAGGAUAAUUCAUAGCUUCAGCAGCUUCA
Long non-coding RNA from Anopheles arabiensis, 791 nucleotides. RefSeq lists it as uncharacterized. The transcript is spliced from 2 exons. The record is from RefSeq and is a predicted model, not a curated record. NCBI's taxonomy places the organism in Eukaryota, Metazoa, Arthropoda, Insecta, Diptera, Culicidae.